AUGGGCAAAGCCAGGCUGUCACAAGCAAGACUUGUGAAAGGCCAUGAAUUUCACAACCUCUACUGCGGUCAGGUUAUAGAGCCAGCCUGCAGGAGAUCUCAUGAAGAUCCAUCCAGAUGCUGUGUGUAUACAAACGCACCUGGAGCCAUCUCCCAUCCUCCAAGGCACACACCAGAUUUGCAGGAGAGCGCAAGCCGGUGGUGGAGACCUACUGCUGGUGGAUCCAAUGCACCUAUGCUAAGGAUGGAAGCCUAG
RNAcentral lists this long non-coding RNA (255 nucleotides) under Phasianus colchicus (ring-necked pheasant). RNAcentral describes it as "lncRNA (ENSPCLG00000005590.1)". The record is from RNAcentral. Lineage: Eukaryota; Metazoa; Chordata; Aves; Galliformes; Phasianidae.